This 298-nucleotide long non-coding RNA is filed under the name Elaeis guineensis (African oil palm). RNAcentral describes it as "long non-coding RNA (EGUI_LNC074247)". The record is from RNAcentral. Lineage: Eukaryota; Viridiplantae; Streptophyta; Magnoliopsida; Arecales; Arecaceae.
CUUGGGGUACUAGCUUUCUUGCAAAGAUUGCUUCCUUCAUGGUUGAAAAGGACAUUCUUCAAACUCUAAGACUAUCUUAAAGAAAAAGAAGACUAAGAGGAAGAAGAUGAGAAAGAAAAAACUAUAAGAAUCCUUUCUCUUUUCCCUUCUCUCUUCUCUCCAAAACUCGAUGCUCAAGAGGAACCUAUGCCCAAGCUCAAGCCCUAAGGAAGGUUUUUUGAUCUUAUUUCUACAUCCCAAAGCUCCCUUAUUUAUAGAUGACGUCCAUAGGUUGGAUAGGGUUUAGGUUUUGAUAAGG